Molecule: long non-coding RNA, 2100 nt
Filed under: Anser brachyrhynchus (Pink-footed goose)
Lineage: Eukaryota; Metazoa; Chordata; Aves; Anseriformes; Anatidae
Description: lncRNA (ENSABRG00000020556.1)
Source: RNAcentral
CGGCAGAUAGUAUCGACUUGGAAGUGGGUGGAAAACAAUAAAAGUCCACUUGGCAACCUCGGGAGCGUCGCUGCUGCACAGCCCCCCCCCCCCCCCCCCCCUCCUCUCCCCUCCCUCCCCGGUCCCCCCCGUCCCUCCCUCGGGCCGGGCUCGGUCGCUCCUCUCCUCGCUCCGACGUAAGGAGCCGGUCCCAAGUGUGUGUGUGUGAGCGGGAGGAGGGCAGACGGGGAAAGGGGAGCGGGGGGGGAGCGCCGGGCCCCAGCCUUUAAUUAGAAACGCGCUGAGGAGGCGCUGAAAUAUUCAUGGCCCUGGCGCGGCUCCCUCCGGGCGGGUCCCCGGCCCCGGUUUACCGGGAACCUGAGGCCCCGGCGGCGGCGGGGAAGGGGCGGUGUUGGGGCGGAGAAGGGAACGGGGGACGGCUGCUUUCGGCCGCCGCCGAGCGGGAAGGCGGCGGAGAGGUGGCCGCGGGAGGGUCCGGGCGGUGCGCGUCGCCUCUUCUUGGCAGGGGCAGCCCCCGGCGGCUUCCCGGGGCUACCGGCGCUGCCUGGAAGCGCUCCCCGGAGAGCCGGGUGGGCUGAGGAGGUGGAGGAGGAGGAGGGAGGAAGGCAGCUCCCGGUAGGAGCCGGAGCCGUCCCGCCGUGGCACCGCCGCUCCCUGCUCGCUCCUUCUCCCCCCCCCCCCCCGUUAAGCCCCUCGGAAGGGGGCUGCCGGUGAAACGCGAUCCGGCUGAACUCCUUCUAUUUGCUCUGAUUGUGUGUAUAAACCUCUCCCUUGGCAGCCGGGGGAGGAAAAUAAAGGCAAAUAUAAAGUUGGACGGCGCGGAGGGAGCGCUUUCCAAGACGGGGUCGGGGCGGGAGCGGGGCCGCCCUGAGGGACCGGGCGCUGAGGGGCUCGUAACGGCCGUAACGGCGGGGCGGGAGCCCGCCGCCGUGAGGGGGGAGCCCCCCGGCCGCCCCCGGCUCCCCCGCAGCGCCGUGUCCCGGCCGUGGCCGCCGUCCGCGGCGUGCUUAAGACACCCAGAGGCAAGACCGAGCAAGAGCGGCUUGGAAAGGAGUGCAGGAGCCUGCCUUCGGCUGGGCGCUGUGCUGCCUUGGCGCUCGGGAGAGCGGUUCGGCGCUUGGCAUUGGCACGGCGUGGCGUGGUUAUGUUUGCACGCCGAGUCAUGCCAAAUAUUGACUCUGGUUGUGUGCUGGGGUCACCUAAUGGAGGCAGGCGAGGUGGAAAGCUGGGCAGGUAGUGCGCAGGCUGGUGUUCUGCUGUUAUGUUUCAAGGAGUCCUUCGUCUCCUUCGUCGGGAAAAGGUUUUACAUGGAGUUCAGCCUGGAUAAUGAAAGCAUUCAUUUUCACCUUUUCCAGUUGGCAGUGUCAUCUGGGGAAGUCUUCAUACAUUUUUGUAAUGAUUUAGAGGAAAAAAAAUACCACAAGGAAAAAUCUUUUGUCUUAAAAAGUUAAUUUCCAAUUAAAAUAUUCAACUGAGAGAUUAUUUCUCUUGUAUGCAAAUUCUAUAUAUUUUUUUCUGGUAUGCCAAAGAAUUUGCCUCUGUAGUGAAAGGAAUGCAAGUGGACUUUUAUUGCUGUCGUCAGGUACUGAACAUAGAUAUGUUUACACCCAUCUUCUUAUACUUGUUCUGCAGUGCAGAUUUGGUGGAAAUACCACUUUGAUAGUUUCUGUUCUUUCAGCAGAUGCAGUCAGAUGUUUCUAAUAGGGGCUGUCAUAGAAUGAGAAUGUUCUGUGGUUAGUUUUGACCGAUGCAGAUAUGACCUUUGCAAUUAUUCCUUGUGAAGAAAAAAAAAAAAACAGGGAAAAUUUUAGAGAAAAAAAAAUAGUAUUGUCAUUUCAGAUGGAGAUAUUUGUUUCCUUUUCUUUGUUGGUUUCUAGUUGUUAGAGGAGCAAGAAGACAAUACUCAAAGGAAAAGGCUUUUGACAGUAAGGAAUUGUGAUUAGGCAUUAGAUGGAACUUCCAUUGCCUGGAAAAGUUUUCCAAAAAAAAAAAGUUUUCUGGAAAACAUUUCAAAACAUCUUUCCUUUGGUUUGAAGACAGCCUCAUAAAAAAAAAUAUAUUGAUGGUGGAAAGUAAAUAAUAAAAAUAAUAAGGAAAUCA